RNAcentral lists this ribosomal RNA (495 nucleotides) under uncultured bacterium. RNAcentral's name for it is "partial 16S ribosomal RNA". It matches the Rfam family "Bacterial small subunit ribosomal RNA", at positions 28 to 507 of the family's 1533-position model. The record is from RNAcentral.
GACGAACGCUGGCGGCGUGCCUAAUACAUGCAAGUAGAACGCUGAAGGAGGAGCUUGCUUCUCUGGAUGAGUUGCGAACGGGUGAGUAACGCGUAGGUAACCUGCCUGGUAGCGGGGGAUAACUAUUGGAAACGAUAGCUAAUACCGCAUAAGAGUAGAUGUCGCAUGACAUUUGCUUAAAAGGUGCAAUUGCAUCACUACCAGAUGGACCUGCGUUGUAUUAGCUAGUGGGUGAGGUAACGGCUCACCAAGGCAACGAUACAUAGCCGACCUGAGAGGGGGAUCGGCCACACUGGGACUGAGACACGGCCCAGACUCCUACGGGAGGCAGCAGUAGGGAAUCUUCGGCAAUGGACGGAAGUCUGACCGAGCAACGCCGCGUGAGUGAAGAAGGUUUUCGGAUCGUAAAGCUCUGUUGUAAGAGAAGAACGAGUGUGAGAGUGGAAAGUUCACACUGUGACGGUAUCUUACCAGAAAGGGACGGCUAACUACGUG